GCUCGGAGCCUGGAGCUGCUUCGGGUUCUGUGUCUCUCUCUCUGCCCCUCCCCUGCUCGUGCGCGCGCUCUCUCUCUCUCUCUCUCUCUCUCUCUCAAAAAUAAACAUUAAAAAAUCGCUCCCUGUUCUUCCCCAAAAUGGAGAAGGACAACUUAAAAUGGCAACGCCCGGGGCCCCUGGGCAGUCAGAAACUCACGUGAACUUUUAUUUCGCGCUCCUCCACGCCAGUGGUGGCACCAGGAGAUUCUCAUUCUGCUGGUCUCCCUCGCAUCAGCCAAGCACCCAACAGAAGACACAGGACACAUUUAAAUUCGGGCCGCGGCUCUGGGAGACGUAACAGCCGCCUUUGAGGAGAGCAGUCUAGUCCGGGCUCCCCCCCGCCAAUGGAAAAGCACCGUACUCCGUGGCUCCACGGUGGUGCGCUUCUCGACGACAGUCAGUGAUCUGGGACCACUGGCGCCAAAGCGAGAAACGGACUGCGAGUCUGAACGAACGGUGGCGUCCAAGUCACCUCAGCACCUGGUUUCUGACAGCAAGGUUCGUACCCGACCGUGAAAGCAGAGAGCCUGGCAACCAAAGAGGGUAUCUGGGAGGAAGAAGAGAUCGUAGGGCGCCGUCUCCCCAGACAUUACCGCUCCACCAACCCCGUCUCCGUUUGUGUCCCUAGUGAUGACCGAAGGCAUCGGGGCAUUUCCCUGCCACGUCACUUCCACGCCACGCGAUCUCCACCAGGACGGGAAUCCAGCAUGUGAGCCUAUGACGGGGACGUGCUGUUUUGUACUUCCCAUCGAUGGCCCAAAGUCAAGGCGACAAAGCCAGGAGGUCAGCAGAGACGCGUGGAGGUGCCGGGCUCGAUGCUAAGACACUUCAACUCCACUUGGCCAGAGCACGGGCAUGCCUGCCAAGAGACCACCAUGCUACUGCGCCUUCAGCAAAUAUCCCCUUUGGGGGAAAACCUACAGCUACCCGUUACCUCCAGUUAGAAAAUAUGAAUCAAAAACUUACCGUUAAACUUGUCAGGGGGACUUUGGGAAUCUCCGUCCUCACCGCCGCAACAUCUUUAGGCAAUGGGAAAGUCCUCCACGUUAAACAGGGUUAAAUCGUGUCCAGACGAGGCCAUCUGCUUUGAGUGACAUCUAAAGAUUUGAGACCAUCUCAAGGGAAGAACCUCAGGGUGCGAGAUGAGGGGGGAAGCCGGAGUGGUGGUUAAGGGCACAAGCUUUUGAGCCAGACACGCUCGAGUCCAAUUCCGGCCCCGCCUCUAACUUGUGACCGCGCGACCCAUGACACGUUACCGAGCUUCUCAGAGUCUCUGCGUCCUCAGCUACGAAAUAAAAACAAUCACACCGACAUCAUGAAGCUGCUUGGACACUGAAAGGGUUACUGUGGAAACUGCUCUUAACGCAAUAUGUAAUGUUUAAGAUGCAUUCAACAAAGGGGCACCUGGGGGGCUCAGCUGGCUAAGCGUCCAACUCUUGGUUUCAGCCCUGGUCGUGAUGUCACCGUUGUGAGAUCGAGCCCCACGUCGGGGUCUGCACCGAGUACGGAGUCUGGUUGGGAUUCUCUCUCCCUGUCUCUCUGCCCCUCCGCUGCAUGUGCUCGCUCGCUCUCUCUCUCUCAAAAUAAAUAUUUUUUUUUAAAAAGAAGCAUUCGGCAAAUGGUAAAGGUCAUUAUUACACACAAGGAAACCCCGCGAUUUAAAGAGGAAGCAGGGCUUGCGACUGAAGCCAAAGGAGACCAAUACCGGGCACAUGUGGACCCGUCUGAAGUCAUCAAUUGCAAUGGCUGUCGUGUGGUGGCUUUGUGAAGGGGCAGGUCCGAAAUGAGACUAUACUGAAGGCAGGGAUGUUCUGCACUAUUUAGGUGAGUUUUAGGGUCCUAUGGUCAGGGCUUUCAGACCUUUAACAAUUAGUACAGUUUCUCAAAUUUCUCAAAAUUUACAAAAUCCAUAAAGAUGUACAGUUAAACCAAAAUACGCUGGGACCUAUCACAGAGCUGGAGAGAUCAUAGGAAAGACUUCAGAUUCUAUUUCCACAGCCUUCCAUCUAAAAUUGACUUGUCUGACAGUGCAGAGCCUGCCUGGAAUUCUCUCUCUCUCUCUCUCCCUCCCUCCCUCCCUCCCUCCCCUUCGUCGCCCACCCCCAAAAAUAAAUAAAUAAAUAAAAAUAAAAAGGGCAGCACACCGCAUAAUUCCAACUAUAUGACACUCUGGAAGAAGCAAAAUCGCAGAGACAGAAGAUGGGUGGUUGCCAAAGAGGCUGUGGGGGAGGCAGGCAGGAUGAAUAGGGGGAGUUUAGGUCAGUGAGACCAAUCUGUGUGAUACCGUCACGAGGAAUACACGUCAUCACACCCUUGUCAAAACCUUAUAACUGUAACACCAAGAGUCAACUUUAACGUAAGCUAUGGACUUUCGUCAAUUCUUAUAUCAGUUACGAUAGUCGCUUUAGUUUAGUUACUGUAUCAGGAUCAGGUCAAUGAUUGUGACAAAUGUACAAUAUCACUGCAAGGUACAUUAUGUAUUAUUAUUAAUAAUGUGUAACAUUAAUAGGAAAACUACACACAAGAUGGGGGAGCAGAGAUGUGUUGGGAACUCUCUGUACUGUCUACUCAAUUAUUUUCCGUAAAUCUAAGACUGCUCUAAAAACUAAAGCUGAUUAUUUUUUUUAAAACCUAAUGGGAGG
Prionailurus viverrinus (fishing cat) is the source of this 2681-nucleotide long non-coding RNA. RefSeq lists it as uncharacterized. Lineage: Eukaryota; Metazoa; Chordata; Mammalia; Carnivora; Felidae. The record is from RefSeq and is a predicted model, not a curated record. The transcript has 3 exons.